CCUACGGGAGGCAGCAGUGAGGAAUAUUGGUCAAUGGACGGAAGUCUGAACCAGCCAUGCCGCGUGCAGGAAGACGGCUCUAUGAGUUGUAAACUGCGUUUGUACAAGGGUAAACCGGAAUACGUGUAUUCAGCUGAAAGUACUGUACGAAUAAGGAUCGGCUAACUCCGUGCCAGCAGCCGCGGUAAUACGGAGGAGCCAAGCGUUAUCCGGAUUUAUUGGGUUUAAAGGGUGCGUAGGCGGUUUGAUAAGUUAGAGGUGAAAUGUCCGGGCUUAACGCGGGAACUGCCUCUCAUACUGUUGAUCUAGAGAGUAGCUGCGGUAGGCGGAAUGUCUGGUGUCGCGGUGAACUGCUU
This 356-nucleotide ribosomal RNA is filed under the name uncultured bacterium. RNAcentral describes it as "partial 16S ribosomal RNA". It matches the Rfam family "Bacterial small subunit ribosomal RNA", at positions 338 to 691 of the family's 1533-position model. The record is from RNAcentral.